GACGAACGCUGGCGGCGUGCUUAACACAUGCAAGUCGAACGGAAAGGCCCUGCUUUUGUGGGGUGCCCGAGUGGCGAACGGGUGAGUAACACGUGAGUAACCUGCCCUUGACUUUGGGAUAACUUCAGGAAACUGGGGCUAAUACCGGAUAGGAGCUCCUGCUGCAUGGUGGGGGUUGGAAAGUUUCGGCGGUUGGGGAUGGACUCGCGGCUUAUCAGCUUGUUGGUGGGGUAGUGGCUUACCAAGGCUUUGACGGGUAGCCGGCCUGAGAGGGUGACCGGCCACAUUGGGACUGAGAUACGGCCCAGACUCCUAUGGGAGGCAGCAGUGGGGAAUAUUGCACAAUGGGCGGAAGCCUGAUGCAGCAACGCCGCGUGCGGGAUGACGGCCUUCGGGUUGUAAACCGCUUUCGCCUGUGACGAAGCGUGAGUGACGGUAAUGGGUAAAGAAGCACCGGCUAACUACGUG
This 468-nucleotide ribosomal RNA is filed under the name uncultured bacterium. Its description in RNAcentral is "partial 16S ribosomal RNA". It matches the Rfam family "Bacterial small subunit ribosomal RNA", at positions 28 to 507 of the family's 1533-position model. The record is from RNAcentral.